GUUUAUGUUCAGAAAUAACCGUUAUAUCUUUCUCAGAAAAAUUCAGGUUCGGCGGCCUAAGCUAAAGUUCGGCGGCCGAACCAAUUGAGGUGAAGAACAUCACUCUUUAAAAAAGGACUUUCGGCGGCCUAAAGUCAUAGUUCGGCGGCCGAACUUGUGGGACUUUCGUCUCUGUCCCUCUCUUUCGGAAGCCGAACAUUAGGCUUCGGAGGCAGACUUAAAAGCACACUUUCGGCGGCCGAAGGUAAUGUUCGGCGGCCGAACAUAGGUGACUUUUGC
RNAcentral lists this long non-coding RNA (279 nucleotides) under Manihot esculenta (cassava). RNAcentral's name for it is "long non-coding RNA (MESC_LNC004202)". Lineage: Eukaryota; Viridiplantae; Streptophyta; Magnoliopsida; Malpighiales; Euphorbiaceae. The record is from RNAcentral.